UUAGUGGCGGACGGGUGAGUAACGCGUGGAAAACCUGCCGUAUACUGGGGGAUAACACUUAGAAAUAGGUGCUAAUACCGCAUAAGCGCACAGGGCCGCAUGAAGCGGUGUGAAAAACUCUGGUGGUAUACGAUGGUUCCGCGUCUGAUUAGCUAGUUGGUGGGGUAAUGGCCUACCAAGGCAACGAUCAGUAGCCGGCCUGAGAGGGUGAACGGCCACAUUGGGACUGAGACACGGCCCAAACUCCUACGGGAGGCAGCAG
Molecule: ribosomal RNA, 262 nt
Filed under: uncultured bacterium
Lineage: Bacteria
Description: partial 16S ribosomal RNA
Rfam family: Bacterial small subunit ribosomal RNA
Source: RNAcentral